AAAAUAGCAUUCAACUCAGGAUUUGUCGUGUAAUACAAAAAUAAACUGAAGAAAUGUGAUAAAGAUGUAUAACAAUUUAACUAUGUAGAGUUUCUUUUGAGUAACUAUACAAAAUUGUUUAAUUGGAUUGAGCCUAAAUGAAAUACUGAACGAACAAUUUGGUAAAAAUGUGUUAUUUGUGGAACACGAACGGAUCAGUGAGUUCAAGAGAAAGUUUUGCGUCAACCAUGGAUUAAUAUUCACGUAAAUGUUAAGAAUGUAGCAGGACUUUUGAACACAAUGUUUAUUUUCGUUGUUUGAGAAUGUGGUUCCAGUUUUCAUAUUAAGUGCGGAA
Bradysia coprophila is the source of this 334-nucleotide long non-coding RNA. Lineage: Eukaryota; Metazoa; Arthropoda; Insecta; Diptera; Sciaridae. The record is from RefSeq and is a predicted model, not a curated record.